This is a long non-coding RNA of Vidua chalybeata, 274 nucleotides long. RefSeq lists it as uncharacterized. The record is from RefSeq and is a predicted model, not a curated record. NCBI's taxonomy places the organism in Eukaryota, Metazoa, Chordata, Aves, Passeriformes, Viduidae. The transcript has 3 exons.
GCUGUGUCUGCCUGGUCACCUUCCCUAGCCGGAGCCUGAUGGAAGGAAGAGCCACGGGGCCCAGAUAGAUCUGCAAAGCUGGAGAUAUAAGCCUCCUGAGCAGCCAAGGCAACCCUUCACAGCAAGGACAGAGGGAAGAUAACUUGUAAACCCCCAAGCGCAAGUUCACAGUAAGAGAAGUUUACCUUCUCCAGAACAGCAAGAUUAUGAGACACACAGUGAGAACAACCAGGAGGACACUAAGCACAGCACCAACAGCCUGGCUUCUCCUUGA